GACUGACAUUAUGAAGGCCUGUACUGAAGACAGCAAGCUGUUAGUACAGACCAGAUGCUUUCUUGGCAGGC
Pteropus alecto (black flying fox) is the source of this 71-nucleotide non-coding RNA. Lineage: Eukaryota; Metazoa; Chordata; Mammalia; Chiroptera; Pteropodidae. The record is from Rfam.